This 75-nucleotide transfer RNA is filed under the name Chloroflexota bacterium. Its description in RNAcentral is "tRNA-Ile". It matches the Rfam family "tRNA". From Rfam's summary of the family: Transfer RNA (tRNA) molecules are approximately 80 nucleotides in length. Their secondary structure includes four short double-helical elements and three loops (D, anti-codon, and T loops). Lineage: Bacteria; Bacillati; Chloroflexota. RNAcentral also lists the same sequence under 2 other names. The record is from RNAcentral.
GGGCCUGUAGCUCAGCGGAAGAGCAGGGGGCUCAUAACCCUUUGGUCGCAGGUUCGAACCCUGCCGGGCCCACCA